AUAUCACUGAAAUAAAUAAUUAUAUGAAUGAAUUCUGUCAAUUAGCCUAUUUUAGUUAAUCAUCAUUCUCAUUUAUUCACUUCUCAUGGGCAAACUUACUCUACAUAAGAUGUAUAAAAAUUUUAAAUUCUGUGACUUUACACAGUGCAGUUAAGCUUUUUAGGGAAAUACUGUUCAACAAUUUUGAAAUGAGUUCAAUCAAAAUCAAAAUGAAUUGAUUGAAGUUAGCAUGUAGACUUUAUUUGGCAGGGAGACCAGUUACUUUGUCCCAUCCCUCAGUUAUUUAA
Molecule: non-coding RNA, 287 nt
Organism: Ceratotherium simum simum (southern white rhinoceros)
Lineage: Eukaryota; Metazoa; Chordata; Mammalia; Perissodactyla; Rhinocerotidae
Source: RefSeq, a predicted model, not a curated record